This 216-nucleotide ribosomal RNA is filed under the name Glomeromycotina sp. RNAcentral's name for it is "partial small subunit ribosomal RNA". The stretch from base 87 to 216 matches the Rfam family "Eukaryotic small subunit ribosomal RNA", at positions 733 to 864 of the family's 1831-position model. The record is from RNAcentral. Lineage: Eukaryota; Fungi; Glomeromycota.
GGGUCAGUAGGUUGGUCGUGCCACCGGUACGUACUGGUCUCACUGAUUCCUCCUUCCUGAAGAACCGUAAUGCCACUAAUUUGGUGUUGCGGGGAAACAGGACUGUUGCUUUGAAAAAAUUAGAGUGUUUAAAGCAAGCUAACGCUUGAAUACAUUAGCAUGGAAUAAUGAAAUAGGACGAUCGAUCCUAUUUUGUUGGUUUCUAGGAUUGACGUA